RNAcentral lists this ribosomal RNA (275 nucleotides) under uncultured bacterium. Its description in RNAcentral is "partial 16S ribosomal RNA". It matches the Rfam family "Bacterial small subunit ribosomal RNA", at positions 82 to 354 of the family's 1533-position model. The record is from RNAcentral.
CCGUUGCCGGCGACCGGCGCACGGGUGAGUAACGCGUAUGGUAACCUGCCCUAUGCAGGGGGAUAACCCGGAGAAAUCCGGCCUAAUACCGCGUAACACCUUUUGGGAGCAUUCCCGGGAGGUUAAAGGAGAGAUCCGGCAUAGGAUGGACAUGCGUCGCAUUAGGUAGACGGCGGGGUAACGGCCCACCGUGCCGACGAUGCGUAGGGGUUCUGAGAGGAAGGCCCCCCACACUGGUACUGAGACACGGACCAGACUCCUACGGAAGGCAGCAG